This 1225-nucleotide long non-coding RNA is filed under the name Equus caballus (horse). RNAcentral describes it as "lncRNA (ENSECAG00000052195.1)". The record is from RNAcentral. Lineage: Eukaryota; Metazoa; Chordata; Mammalia; Perissodactyla; Equidae.
UCUCUAAGGGUGGGGUCCGGAGAACUGGGUUUCGCAAGCUCUCGAUGCACGCUUAAGCUCUAGAACCACUGGCGUAGGUAAAUUGACGACCAUUUUACAAAUGAGGACGUAGAAUUUAAGAGAGGAUCCCCAAAGGCAGCUGUGAAGGCCAACAACACGAUUCGGCACACUGUGGACGCAUAUCAGCAACACCACUUGCCCUGGGGUGAUGUGUGAUUCCUUGAAAUGAAGAAGAUGAGAAAUCCCAUCACUAAAUCCAUUCGACAUGCUGAGGCACCAGAAACAUUUUCAGCUUGGACCUUUGUUUAUACACGGAGUUCCCGACACUCUUGCCCAGUUGGUAAACACUAAAAGAACAGCAUGACUUGGGCAUUGAACUUUACACUCAAAAUCUUGAUGCAUGAGGGUGAUGGAGAGGGCCAAGAUUGGGAGCUUCACGUAUUAACUGAUUUACUCAAUAAGUAUUUAUAUAUGACAUUCUACAUUCAUAUGUAGAGUUCUAUGUGAAUCUAGAACGUGAUAUGUAUAUUGAGUUCUAUGUGAAUAUACAAGGUGACAUAUAAAUGCUUCUUGAGAAUAUAUAUAUAUAUGAAUACAUGCCAUUCUAUAUAGUGUUAGAUGCUGGAGGUCAACAAAACACACAUAAACCCUGUCCUCAAGAAGCCUUCCAAGAAGGACACCAUGGUGUGCUGUAGGGAUGGAGAGAGAGCGAUGGAGCAGAGACGGGGGGCUGGGAACCAGUCUGGGAAUCAUGAAAAGCCCUUGGCCGAGGUCACCCUUCUGAUGGGUUUUGAAAAUACAAAGGAGCUGGGCAGAGAAGUGAGGGAACAGUGUCCCAUGCAGUGGGAAGUGCACUGUGAGAAUCUAGGCGCAUUCAGUGGCAGAAGAGGAAAAUAUCAGGUGGUUUGAUUUUAUCGGUAAAAAAAAAAAAUCAGGAAAUGAGGCUGCCAAGGUAGUCAGACCUUCCCCCUGAGACAGUGUGACCUUUAGAGAGAGAAGGGAACAGUGUUUGGAAGAAAGAGAGGGGUGCAACUGGAAUCUGUUUCACGAUCCGGGGGCUAGCUAUACAUAUGUGAUCAGUUUAUGAAGUUCCUUGAGCUUUCUGCUUAUGAUAUGUGCUUUUUCUAUACUACCUUUAAGUAAAAUCUUUAGAAAGGAAAGAAAACUAAAACUUGGUCCUGGGAGCCUCCGGAUCGCUGUGAAGGACCAGGGUGGAGGAGAAGCA